This 701-nucleotide ribosomal RNA is filed under the name Acinetobacter sp. Hg9. RNAcentral describes it as "bacterial SSU rRNA". It matches the Rfam family "Bacterial small subunit ribosomal RNA", at positions 8 to 703 of the family's 1533-position model. Lineage: Bacteria; Pseudomonadati; Pseudomonadota; Gammaproteobacteria; Moraxellales; Moraxellaceae. The record is from RNAcentral.
AGAGUUUGAUCAUGGCUCAGAUUGAACGCUGGCGGCAGGCUUAACACAUGCAAGUCGAGCGGAGAUGAGGUGCUUGCACCUUAUCUUAGCGGCGGACGGGUGAGUAAUGCUUAGGAAUCUGCCUAUUAGUGGGGGACAACAUUCCGAAAGGAAUGCUAAUACCGCAUACGUCCUACGGGAGAAAGCAGGGGAUCUUCGGACCUUGCGCUAAUAGAUGAGCCUAAGUCGGAUUAGCUAGUUGGUGGGGUAAAGGCUUACCAAGGCGACGAUCUGUAGCGGGUCUGAGAGGAUGAUCCGCCACACUGGGACUGAGACACGGCCCAGACUCCUACGGGAGGCAGCAGUGGGGAAUAUUGGACAAUGGGGGGAACCCUGAUCCAGCCAUGCCGCGUGUGUGAAGAAGGCCUUAUGGUUGUAAAGCACUUUAAGCGAGGAGGAGGCUACUGAGACUAAUACUCUUGGAUAGUGGACGUUACUCGCAGAAUAAGCACCGGCUAACUCUGUGCCAGCAGCCGCGGUAAUACAGAGGGUGCGAGCGUUAAUCGGAUUUACUGGGCGUAAAGCGUGCGUAGGCGGCUUUUUAAGUCGGAUGUGAAAUCCCCGAGCUUAACUUGGGAAUUGCAUUCGAUACUGGGAAGCUAGAGUAUGGGAGCGGAUGGUAGAAUUCCAGGUGUAGCGGUGAAAUGCGUAGAGAUCUGGAG